GACAGAGGUGCCAAGCGUUAGGCGGAAUCACUGGGCUUAAAGCGUGUGUAGGCGGACUUGUAAGUACCUUGUGAAAUCCCACGGCUCACCCGUGGAACUGCUGGGUAUACUGCGAGUCUUGAGCCACUUAGGGGCUGUCGGAACAGGCGGUGGAGCGGUGAAAUGCGUAGAUAUCGCCUGGAACGCCAAAGGUGAAAACAGGCAGCUGGGAGUGUGCUGACGCUGAGACACGAAAGCCAGGGGAGCGAACGGG
RNAcentral lists this ribosomal RNA (253 nucleotides) under uncultured bacterium. Its description in RNAcentral is "partial 16S ribosomal RNA". It matches the Rfam family "Bacterial small subunit ribosomal RNA", at positions 524 to 776 of the family's 1533-position model. The record is from RNAcentral.